RNAcentral lists this ribosomal RNA (506 nucleotides) under uncultured bacterium. Its description in RNAcentral is "bacterial SSU rRNA". It matches the Rfam family "Bacterial small subunit ribosomal RNA", at positions 23 to 518 of the family's 1533-position model. The record is from RNAcentral.
CUCAGGAUGAACGCUAGCUACAGGCUUAACACAUGCAAGUCGAGGGGCAGCAUUGGGAUAGCUUGCUAUCCAGAUGGCGACCGGCGCACGGGUGAGUAACGCGUAUCCAACCUUCCCUAUAGUAGAGAAUAGCCCGGCGAAAGUCGGAUUAAUGCUCUAUGUUGUGUUUUGAGGACAUCUGACGAACACCAAAGGUUCACCGCUAUAGGAUGGGGAUGCGUCUGAUUAGCUUGUUGGCGGGGUAACGGCCCACCAAGGCGACGAUCAGUAGGGGUUCUGAGAGGAAGGUCCCCCACAUUGGUACUGAGACACGGACCAAACUCCUACGGGAGGCAGCAGUGAGGAAUAUUGGUCAAUGGGCGAGAGCCUGAACCAGCCAAGUAGCGUGCAGGAUUGACUGCCCUAUGGGUUGUAAACUGCCUUUAUCAGGGAAUAAAGUGCGGCACGUGUGCCGUUUUGUAUGUACCUGAUGAAUAAGGACCGGCUAAUUCCGUGCCAGCCGCAGC